Molecule: ribosomal RNA, 460 nt
Filed under: uncultured bacterium
Lineage: Bacteria
Description: partial 16S ribosomal RNA
Rfam family: Bacterial small subunit ribosomal RNA
Source: RNAcentral
CCUACGGGCGGCAGCAGUGGGGAAUAUUGGUCAAUGGACGCAAGCCUGAACCAGCCAUGCCGCGUGCAGGAAGACGGCUCUAUGAGUUGUAAACUGCUUUUGUACGAGGGUAAACGCAGAUACGCGUAUCUGUCUGAAAGUAUCGUACGAAUAAGGAUCGGCUAACUCCGUGCCAGCAGCCGCGGUAAUACGGAGGAGUCAAGCGUUAUCCGGAUUUAUUGGGGUUAAAGGGUGCGUAGGCGGUCGGAUAAGUUAGAUGUGAAAUCCCGAGGCUCAACUUCGGAAUUGCCUCUGAUACUGUUCGGCUAGAGAGUAGUUGCGGUAGGCGGAAUGUAUGGUGUAGCGGUGAAAUGCUUAGAGAUCAUGCAGAACACCGAUUGCGAAGGCAGCUUACCAGGCUACUUCUGACGUUGAGGCACGAAAGCGUGGGGAGCAAACAGGAUUAGAUACCCGGGUAGUC